This 254-nucleotide ribosomal RNA is filed under the name uncultured bacterium. RNAcentral's name for it is "partial 16S ribosomal RNA". It matches the Rfam family "Bacterial small subunit ribosomal RNA", at positions 524 to 776 of the family's 1533-position model. The record is from RNAcentral.
UACGAAGGGGGCUAGCGUUGCUCGGAAUCACUGGGCGUAAAGCGCACGUAGGCGGGCUCUUAAGUCGGUGGUGAAAUCCUGGAGCUCAACUCCAGAACUGCCUCCGAUACUGAGAGUCUUCGAGUUCGGGAGAGGUGAGUGGAACUGCGAGUGUAGAGGUGAAAUUCGUAGAUAUUCGGAAGAACACCAGUGGCGAAGGCGGCUCACUGGCCCGGUACUGACGCUGAGGUGCGAAAGCGUGGGGAGCAAACAGG